This 27-nucleotide non-coding RNA is filed under the name Bombyx mori (domestic silkworm). Lineage: Eukaryota; Metazoa; Arthropoda; Insecta; Lepidoptera; Bombycidae. The record is from RNAcentral.
UCUUGUUGGAAUACCCAGUGCCUGUUA